GCAUAUCAAUAAGCGGAGGAAAAGAAACCAACAGGGAUUGCCCUAGUAACGGCGAGUGAAGCGGCAACAGCUCAAAUUUGAAAUCUGGCGUCUUUGGCGUCCGAGUUGUAAUUUGCAGAGGGCGCUUUGGCAUUGGCAGCGGUCCAAGUUCCUUGGAACAGGACGUCACAGAGGGUGAGAAUCCCGUACGUGGUCGCUAGCCUUUACCGUGUAAAGCCCCUUCGACGAGUCGAGUUGUUUGGGAAUGCAGCUCUAAAUGGGAGGUAAAUUUCUUCUAAAGCUAAAUACUGGCCAGAGACCGAUAGCGCACAAGUAGAGUGAUCGAAAGAUGAAAAGCACUUUGGAAAGAGAGUUAAAAAGCACGUGAAAUUGUUGAAAGGGAAGCGCUUGCAGCCAGACUUGCCUGUAGUUGCUCAUCCGGGUUUUUACCCGGUGCACUCUUCUAUAGGCAGGCCAGCAUCAGUUUGGGCGGUUGGAUAAAGGUCUCUGUCAUGUACCUCUCUUCGGGGAGAACUUAUAGGGGAGACGACAUGCAACCAGCCUGGACUGAGGUCCGCGCAUCUGCUAGGAUGCUGGCGUAAUGGCUGUAAGCGGCCCGUCUUGAAACACGGACCAAGGAGUCUAACAUCUAUGCGAGUGUUUGGGUGUCAAGCCCGAGCGCGUAAUGAAAGUGAACGGAGGUGGGAACCUUUCGGGGUGCACCAUCGACCGAUCCUGAUGUCUUCGGAUGGAUUUGAGUAAGAGCAUAGCUGUUGGGACCCGAAAGAUGGUGAACUAUGCUUGAAUAGGGUGAAGCCAGAGGAAACUCUGGUGGAGGCUCGCAGCGGUUCUGACGUGCAAAUCGAUCGUCAAAUUUGGGCAUAGGGGCGAAAGACUAAUCGAACUAUCUAGUAGCUGGUUCCUGCCGAAGU
Molecule: ribosomal RNA, 911 nt
Filed under: Coniothyrium insitivum
Lineage: Eukaryota; Fungi; Ascomycota; Dothideomycetes; Pleosporales; Coniothyriaceae
Description: LSU rRNA
Rfam family: Eukaryotic large subunit ribosomal RNA
Source: RNAcentral